CAGCAGCCGCGGGAAUACGUAGGUGGCAAGCGUUGUCCGGAAUUAUCGGGCGUAAAGGGCUCGCAGGCGGUUUCUUAAGUCUGAUGUGAAAGCCCCCGGCUCAACCGGGGAGGGUCAUUGGAAACUGGGAAACUUGAGUGCAGAAGAGGAGAGUGGAAUUCCACGUGUAGCGGCGAAAUGCGUAGAGAUGUGGAGGAACACCAGUGGCGAAGGCGACUCUCUGGUCUGUAACUGACGCUGAGGAGCGAAAGCGUGGGGAGCGAACAGGAUUAGAUACCCGUGUAGUCCCUGUCUCUUAUAC
This 301-nucleotide ribosomal RNA is filed under the name uncultured bacterium. RNAcentral describes it as "partial 16S ribosomal RNA". It matches the Rfam family "Bacterial small subunit ribosomal RNA", at positions 509 to 807 of the family's 1533-position model. The record is from RNAcentral.